This 528-nucleotide ribosomal RNA is filed under the name Geotrigona fulvohirta. RNAcentral describes it as "partial 16S large subunit ribosomal RNA". The stretch from base 376 to 528 matches the Rfam family "Bacterial large subunit ribosomal RNA", at positions 2473 to 2626 of the family's 2925-position model. The record is from RNAcentral. Lineage: Eukaryota; Metazoa; Arthropoda; Insecta; Hymenoptera; Apidae.
GUCUUAUUGAAAAUAAUUUUAAGUCAAUCUGCCCAAUGAGAAAUAUUUAAUGGCUGCAGUAUAAGUGACUGUACAAAGGUAGCAUAAUCAAUUGGUUUUUAAAUGAAAUCUGGAAUGAAAGGAUUAAUGAAAUAUAUACUGUCUCAUAUUUAUUUUAUGAAUUUAAAAUUUUAAUAAAAAUGUUAAAAUUUUUUUAUGGGACGAUAAGACCCUAUAGAAUUUUAUAUUUAUUUUUUUUAAUAAUUAAUAUUAAAUUAAAAUAAAUAUUUAAUUGGGAGAAUUAUUAAAUUUAAUAAAUUUUAAUUAAAAAAAACUUUAAUUUAAGAAUAAAAUUUUGAUCUUUAAUUUAAAAUUAUUAGAAUAAAUUACCUUAGGGAUAACAGCGUAAUAUUUUUUUAUAGAUCUUAUAGAAAAAAAUGAUUGCGACCUCGAUGUUGAAUUAAGAUAAAUUUUAAACGUAGAGGUUUAAUGAUUAAGUCUGUUCGACUUUUGAAAUCUUACAUGAUUUGAGUUCAAAUCGACGUAAGU